RNAcentral lists this ribosomal RNA (253 nucleotides) under uncultured bacterium. RNAcentral's name for it is "partial 16S ribosomal RNA". It matches the Rfam family "Bacterial small subunit ribosomal RNA", at positions 524 to 776 of the family's 1533-position model. The record is from RNAcentral.
UACGUAGGGGGCAAGCGUUAUCCGGAUUUACUGGGUGUAAAGGGAGCGUAGACGGCAUGGCAAGUCAGAUGUGAAAGCCCGGGGCUCAACCCCGGGACUGCAUUUGAAACUGUCAGGCUGGAGUGCAGGAGAGGUAAGUGGAAUUCCUAGUGUAGCGGUGGAAUGCGUAGAUAUUAGGAGGAACACCAGUGGCGAAGGCGGCUUACUGGACUGUAACUGACGUUGAGGCUCGAAAGCGUGGGGAGCAAACAGG